RNAcentral lists this ribosomal RNA (253 nucleotides) under uncultured bacterium. RNAcentral's name for it is "partial 16S ribosomal RNA". It matches the Rfam family "Bacterial small subunit ribosomal RNA", at positions 524 to 776 of the family's 1533-position model. The record is from RNAcentral.
GACGAACCGUGCGAACGUUAUUCGGAAUUAUUGGGCGUAAAGCGUCCGUAGGUGGCUAGUCAAGUCUGCGGUCAAAGACUGGGGCUUAACCCUGGAAAGGCCGUGGAAACUGACGAGCUAGAGUGCAGUAGGGGUAGAGGGAAUUCCCGGUGUAGCGGUGAAAUGCGUAGAGCUCGGGAAGAACAUCGGUGGCGAAAGCGCUCUACUGGACUGCAACUGACACUCAGGGACGAAAGCUAGGGGAGCGAAUGGG